AGGAGCCCAGCUGGCUUCACCCAGUGGAUCCCCCACAGGGCUGCAGGUGGAGCUGCCUGCCAGUUCCCGGCCGUGUGCCCGCACUCCUCAGCGCUUGGGUGUCGAUGGGACUGGGCCCAUGGAGUAGGGGGCGGCGCUCGUCUGGGAGGCUCGGGCCACACAGGAGCCCACGGAGGUUGGGGGAGGCUCAGGCAUGGCGGGCUGCAGGUCCCGAGCCCUGCCGUGCAGGAAGGCAGUUAAGGCCCCGCGAGAAAUUGAGCACAGCAGCUGCUGGCUGAGGUGCUAAGCCCCUCACUGCCUGAGGCCAGUGGGGCCGGCCAGCUGCUCCGAGUGCGGGGUCCGCCGAGCCCACGCCCAUCCGGAACUCGCGCUGGCCUGCAAGCACCGCGCGCAGCCCUGGUUCCCGCCCGCGCCUCUCCCUCCACACCUCCCUGUAAGCUGAAGGAGCCCGCUCCGGCCUUGGCCAGCACAGAAAGGGGCUCCCACAGUGCAGCCUCGAGCUGAAGGGCUCAUCAAGUGCCGCCAAAGUGGGAGCCCAGGCAGGGGAGGCGCCGAGAGCCAGUGAGGACUGCCAGCACCGCUGUCACCUCUCAGAAAUGCUGGGAAGAAUAUGAGAGAUCCGGAAGGGAACAGAAGACAAGGAAUGUGGGCACCCUCUAGAAGUUGCAGAAGCCAGAGAAACAGACUCUCCCCUGGAAUGUUCAGAAAGUGUACAAUCCUGCCAAGACCUCGGUCAUAGCUCAGUGAAACCCAUUUUGAAAUUCGGACCACCAGAACUAAGUUGCCUGCUUCUCCUUCGC
RNAcentral lists this long non-coding RNA (800 nucleotides) under Homo sapiens (human). RNAcentral describes it as "HSALNT0202423". The record is from RNAcentral. Lineage: Eukaryota; Metazoa; Chordata; Mammalia; Primates; Hominidae.